GUAUGUAAAGUGUGUCGGGUCUGUGAAUAAAAAGUCGUCGCGAUCAGGAACACGUAUCCUGACUAUGGAUGGAUCCGCCGGGGAAUCCAUACACAAGAUAGUUGGCACGCAAAGUCAACCGCGCCGCGAUAUACACAACAAAUGCCGACACAAUAAUGAACGAAACGCCGCGUAUAGUAAUAGAUCCAACUUGCUAUGUGUCGCAACCGGUAAAAAGGAACUUUACGUGCGGGAAUAGUAAGCUCUGACAUCGGAUCAGAGGCAACAUAAAUGUAAAAUAAACAAAGCACCUGAAAAUUAAAGCAGUGAUAUAGUGUAAUGAGCACAAGCUCCAAAGAGGAAAAUGGAUACCUCUAAGGGAAUAAUGAAAUGUUUUAUUGAAAAUGGGAUUUAUCUUCAUUGGGAGAAGGUGCAGAACUACAAAAUGAACGGAAAUCUCUGAAGUAUGUUUGGCCUCUUCGGAUCACCAUCGAAUUCAGUGUCAUAACGAUAGAGAAACGAGGAAUGAAUGAAUUGGUUACUUCAUAAAUUCGUCCCAACCAUUAAGCGAUUUUCUGGAGUGCGAAAUUCACUUUCGCUAUGUUAGAGGAAGGUGGAGCUUAUAAAUUACGGAGAAGGAGGAACAGAAGACCCAAUUAAUUACUUGAGAGCUUCGUCUUCGGCCAUAUGAUAGUAACGCAAAUAGAAUGUCCCUACAUAUGCAAAAAAUAUUUUUCCCACGCCUACUAUGUCCAACCAUCAAGAUAAAACGUUCAAAUCCGGUUCUAACUGACUUUCUCAGCCCUAAAAUCUCCCAUCCUUCAACAUAAUGAACGUACAAUUAUUUUUCCUGUCUAGUUUUUCUUACCCUAAAUAUAAUGGAUAAAACAAGUCGGGGGACCGGAAGCUGGACGCUUCAGGUAUGAAAGGUUUUACGUAGGUUUUACGUUAUAACAAUAAAGAUAUUUAAUAUAUGCAUAUAUUUUGUGAGAAAAUCCACUUUCGCGUGAUAUUGACAUUCAAAGUCAUGCAAAUUUACACAGAAACGACAAA
Hermetia illucens (black soldier fly) is the source of this 1032-nucleotide long non-coding RNA. RefSeq lists it as uncharacterized. Lineage: Eukaryota; Metazoa; Arthropoda; Insecta; Diptera; Stratiomyidae. The transcript is spliced from 4 exons. The record is from RefSeq and is a predicted model, not a curated record.